Small nuclear RNA from Aotus nancymaae (Ma's night monkey), 107 nucleotides. NCBI's taxonomy places the organism in Eukaryota, Metazoa, Chordata, Mammalia, Primates, Aotidae. The record is from Ensembl.
GUGCUCGCUUUGGCAGCACGAAUACUAAGACUGGAACGAUACGCAGAAGAUUAGCAUGACCCCUGCACAAGCAUGACAUACAAAUUUGUGAAGUAUUCCAUAUUUGU